This 254-nucleotide ribosomal RNA is filed under the name uncultured bacterium. RNAcentral describes it as "partial 16S ribosomal RNA". It matches the Rfam family "Bacterial small subunit ribosomal RNA", at positions 524 to 776 of the family's 1533-position model. The record is from RNAcentral.
UACGUAGGGUGCAAGCGUUGUCCGGAAUUAUUGGGCGUAAAGAGCUCGUAGGCGGUUUGUCGCGUCUGCUGUGAAAACUGGAGGCUCAACCUCCUAGCCUGCAGUGGGUACGGGCAGACUAGAGUGCGGUAGGGGAGAUUGGAAUUCCUGGUGUAGCGGUGGAAUGCGCAGAUAUCAGGAGGAACACCGAUGGCGAAGGCAGAUCUCUGGGCCGUAACUGACGCUGAGGAGCGAAAGCAUGGGGAGCGAACAGG